CCCGUCAUCCAGCCACACGUGACUGCGCUUUCCUCUGCCUCACUGGCCGCGCAUCCCUAAACCGUCUGCCCGGCUCCUUUUGGGGGUUAGGCAGAGGCCCCGACAGAGCUCAUGUGGAGUGUCUUUGGGGACUUACUUCUUCUAUCCAGUCCUUUCUACCUUGUCCAACAGCUGGAGAAAAUGUGUGUUGGGGCCUGAUGAAGUGGGCGCCAUGCUGAGGAGGCAGGGCGCUGGCAGCUGGGACCUGAGGCCGGCCUCUAGUCAACGCCAGCAAACGCGGGACGCCCGGGUGGUUCGGCUGCAAGGAAGCAAGUCUGCCCCCGACCUGCGUGAGCGCGGAGGGGCUGUGCCGGGUCAGCCUCCGAGGAGGACGCAGCCUGGGAGCGCUGCGCAGGGACGCAGCCAGACUGCUCAGACUCCUGCCGCACGAAGCCGCAGUGGAAUCCUCGGUGUCAUUUUGAGCUGCUAAACUUGUGGUGGCCUGUUGUAUGACAACAGAAAGCUAAUAUGGGGGAUUGACCUGGAACAGGAGGUGGGAGGUGCUGAGGACAGACGCCACCUACAGCACGGCGGCCUGCUCCUCACUCCUGCAGGCUCUGGCCUUGUCCAAAAUGUCCAGAAUAUUCCAUCCUGACCACCUUG
Non-coding RNA from Microcebus murinus (gray mouse lemur), 642 nucleotides. The record is from RefSeq and is a predicted model, not a curated record. NCBI's taxonomy places the organism in Eukaryota, Metazoa, Chordata, Mammalia, Primates, Cheirogaleidae.